GAAGAACUUAAAAAAAAAACCUCAAAGUUGUUUGACUUUUGCCACCGGUUGUAGCUGCUUGUCAUCUUCUACUGAUCUCUUUACUCUUUGCCUCUGCACCGUGAGAGAUAGGGCUCGGAGAGUGAAAGGAUGGAAGAGGAUCAAUUGGACUAUGUUCUGGUACCUUUGGGUCUAUUGUUGAUGGGAUUAUACCAUAUCUGGCUUAUCUUUACCAUCCUCCACUUUCCCAAUCGAACCGUCAUUGGCAUCAAUGCUGAGUCUCGCCACCAUUGGGUCUUCUCCGUGAUGACUGACCCCGUAAAGAAUGGUGUUUUGGCAGUUCAAACAAUUCGCAACAACAUAAUGGCAUCUACAUUGUUAGCUACAACAGCAAUUACUCUCAGUUCACUAAUCAGUGUUUAUGUCAGUAGCACAUCAAAGUCUAGCAAUGCAACUUCACAGCUGGUUUAUGGCAAUAAGACGUCUAUGAUCUCUUCAAUCAAGUACUUUUGUAUCUUGCUUUGUUUCCUUCUUGCAUUCCUUUUCAACGUGCAGUCUAUUAGAUACUAUGCCCAUGUUAGCUUCUUGGCUACCACACCUACUUGGAGUAAUGAUAAAGAGUCUAUUGAGUACGUCGUGAGAAAUCUGAAUCGCGGAAGCCUCUUUUGGUCCCUUGGAUUGCGAGCAUUCUACCUUUCAUUCCCUCUGUUCCUCUGGAUAUUUGGUCCCAUACCCAUGUUUUCUUGUUGUUGCAUACUGUCAUUUCUUCUAUAUUUCUUGGACACCACUAGCAGUUUUACACGGCAUCUUCACUGUCAUUCACUCAAACAAGUUACCAAGAGCAACAACAUGGAUUCAGUUGUUUAAUCAUUAGUUGCUGCCUGAUGGCAAAUCUAGACUGGUUACUAAGCUGCUGCUUUGAAGUUAAUUGCUUGUUCUCCUGUCUCAUCAGUGUAGUAAUGCAGAAGAAACAUUGUAGGCGAAAUUGAAGUGUGUUCGAGGUCAUCUCUUCAAGCCUGAUCUAUUGCAUUCCGGCGAUCAAUUGUCUACAUGUACUCCACCACGCAACUCCUCAUGUGCCAAUCUGCUAGUAUGAAGCAAAACCAUAGCGAAAAUCUUGGUGUGUGAUCCUCACACAGCUUGUCUCGUGCAUGCCUUUCACGCACUGUCUUGUCAAAAUGCAUAUGAAGGCUACACAUGUUGUACCAAUAGUUUCACUAGCCCCAAGAGUUUUUAGAUAUGAACCACCCCAUCUCACUUUCACAUGCACAUGGACUCCAUGUGCUGUCACAAUCAUACCUGGAGAAACUCGGCUAGCAGCGGUUUGGGCCAUUCAAUGCCGGUCAUCCUACUAUGUUUCCGCUUUCCUUAAUCGAAGAUCUUGAGGCAGGGGAGACCAGUCUCUUUUGUGAAUAUUUCAGGACAACAAACUGUAAUGCACCACCAAUAUCCACCGUUUCCAGCAGUGGCGACAUAGUUUGCAUAGCUAUGCAAACUUAAAAAAAAAAAAAAAAAAAAAACUAUCAUUUAAGAUGUCUCCCUCUUUGCAAGGAAUGGGUAGGGAUCAAGUUUUUUUAAUCUCAAAACUUGAUCUAUUUUUCACUUUUGCACUGUGUUUGUUAUAAUGGAGUAUUUGUUGGGACAACCCACCUCCUCCUCCUCCUGUCUCUCGAUUUCUAUAUGUUAAUGAAAUGUUGUUUGAUUAGGAAAAAGACAUUACUAUA
Molecule: RNA transcript, 1703 nt
Organism: Carya illinoinensis
Lineage: Eukaryota; Viridiplantae; Streptophyta; Magnoliopsida; Fagales; Juglandaceae
Exons: 4
Source: RefSeq, a predicted model, not a curated record